AUCCAUGAGGGCCCAUUAUGUAGUGACAUAGCGACGGGAGAAAGGGAGGGUAGUGCCAAAAAUUCUGGCUAAAUUAGGUCUUGUUCCCCCUUUCCUCAAUCCUUCGCCGCCGCCAGAGAAAAUCCCCCUCUCUCUCCCCAAUCUUCCUCUCCCACAUCACCAUGGCCCGCCGCGCGCCACCACCCCGCCGUGCCCCUACCGGCCCUGCUCCACCGCGCCCUACCAGCCCUGCUCCGCCGCGUCGCCUCUUCUUCCCCUUCUCUACCACAUCGGUGACCCAAUCGGACCAUCCGGCGGUGGGCACGAUGUCCUCACGCGGAUCUGACUGCCGCCACUGUCGCCGCCUCCAUGCCACCUCGAGCUGCUCCUUGAUGCAGUUGUCCCCGACGAGCACCACCCCCACACGACUGUCGCUGACGAGCUACUCCCCGACGGCCACAUCCUCUCCUACACCGCGGGUACUACGGCGAUGACAAGGGCAUCCACUUACCUGCUAGAUCAAGAUCGCGUCCACCACCUUGACUUCACUCCGAAGGUUCUCUCCCUGUCUUUUGCUCUCUUGUUUAGGUAGUUGUAUAUGCUCUAAUGUGUUCGGUGUUCAGAUCUCACAAGCGAUGCUCAUCUUUGUGAUUUGCUUGUUAAGAAAUUAUACUGCUUCUUUCGGCUAGCUUGCCGUUGUUGCAGAAUAUCAGUUUGCCCUUUGCAACAUCCGCUCCUGCAGGUCUACUAGGUAAAUCUUUUUAGUAGCACAGGUCUUUCAGUUUACGUGUUUCAACUUGAACAUGAUGUCCAGAACCAGAACUUAAAAAUAGAACUUUCACAUACAUGCAGGUUGGCCAUGCUAGUACUCUCCUGCACUAGCAUUUUGUUAACUUAAAACAUAUUUCCUGACUGAAUGUUUUUGUGAUUUAAAGGUACCAAGGAAUGUUUAAAGACUACAUUGGUGUUUUCUAGCUUGGAGAAGCAACAUCAACUUGGGAUGCAGAUUCACCACUAUAUGUGCAUGCAUCUCAUAGGGGGAGAGAUCUUGUAUGGAUGUAAGACCAUUUUUCUUCUGUUAUAGAUUCUAGAGUGAUGCUCUGCUUAAAUUCGUAUCCAUGCAUAAAGUCAACAUCCAAUGAAAUAUGAGCAAAUUAUUUUAUCUCUAUUACUGUAAUUGUGAGCUAUGACAACCAUAUAAAUAGAUUUAGUAUAUUUUGAUUGCAUAGUUUCUUUUCUGCUAUUUGAAAUAUGAAUGUGUAUCUUUAAUCAUGACUGAAUAUGCAUUUUUAAGCAUGACUAGAACUGCGCUGAACAUGCAUGCUUAAUCGUGUAUUUUUUUCUGCAGCUAAAAUUCAGCUGAAGCUUUACAGAACUAGGGGAACACUAAUCCAUAGAGCUAUCAUUUCCUUUGCUUUGUUUUUCCUGUAGAAUAGAUUAAGCAUAAUCUGAGUGGUGUAUAUGCAACACAUUUCUUAAUGGCCAUGCAUGCAAUUAUAAUCUAUUUCUGUCAAGACUGGAAACCUCGAGACGGUGAUCAAAGAUUUGGUUGAAGGAAUCAGCAAACAGAUGUUUUAGAGGUAUGGUCUAUGUGUCAACUCUCAAAUGUCUAGUACUGCAAAAUUGUUGUAUGGCCAUGAUGGUGCUUUAUUUAUUUUUCUGUCUUUUGUGUAUACAGACCAAUACUUUGUUUUAAUUUUCAGUUACUUGCAAUCUUGCAUGUUAUUGCCAGCAUGAGUUUUGUAUGUCCAUGACUGUUGUGAUACUAUUAAUAUGAUGCAGAUUUGUGUUCUUAUGCAUGCUGCAGUAUUUUUGAUAUUUUAGAGAAGUGCUGAAUUUGUGACCAUUAUUUUCAGCAUCAUGUUGUGAGCUCUGAUGUUCCUCUCAAGACUUGGAUGGGCAACCUGAUGCAAGUUCUCAAGGGAUAUUUGGAGCAUGUACUUCUCAAGGCGAUGUGAUGCAUGUGUAGUUAAUUAACAGGUUGAUUGGAAGUGUUUUGAUCUAGCAACACUAGCUGAUAUGUGGUCUUGUCUAUAGCAAAUUCUAGAUUCAAAUUGCAGUGCUUAGACCAUUUUGCAACUUAAUCUAGCUUUUUUGGAUCGACGGGUGGUAUGAAUAUGUUGUAUGAUAAUGAAUAUUCAGUCAUCCAUGAAUUAUUUGAAUUAUAGCCGAUAUAUAUAUAUCCAAAUUUGGUGUAUUGUUGCUUUGGUUGUGAUUGUUUGUUGCAGCCUAUUUCUAGUAUUAAUAAAUGGUUGAUAUGAAUCCAAAUUUAUAUA
Molecule: long non-coding RNA, 2255 nt
Filed under: Triticum aestivum (bread wheat)
Lineage: Eukaryota; Viridiplantae; Streptophyta; Magnoliopsida; Poales; Poaceae
Description: long non-coding RNA (TAES_LNC004402)
Source: RNAcentral